Molecule: ribosomal RNA, 449 nt
Filed under: uncultured bacterium
Lineage: Bacteria
Description: partial 16S ribosomal RNA
Rfam family: Bacterial small subunit ribosomal RNA
Source: RNAcentral
AAUGAACGCUGGCGGCAGGCCUAACACAUGCAAGUCGAACGGAUCCUUCGGGAUUAGUGGCGGACGGGGGAGUAACGCGUGGGAAAAUACCCUUUGGUACGGAAUAGCCUCGGGAAACUGGGAGUAAUACCGUAUGUGGCCGAGAGACGAAAGAUUUAUCGCCAAAGGAUUGGCCCGCGUGGGAUUAGGUAGUUGGUGGGGUAAUGGCCUACCAAGCCGACGAGCCAUAGCUGGCUUGAGAGGAUGAUCAGCCACACUGGGACUGCGACACGGCCCAGACUCCUGCGGGAGGCAGCAGUGGAGAAUCUUAGCCAAUGGGGGAAACCCUGAUCUAGCCAUGCCGCGUGAUCGAUGAAGGCCUUAGGGUUGUAAAGAUCUUUCAGGUGGGAAGAUAAUGACUGUACCACCAGAAGAAGCCCCGGCUAACUCCGUGCCAGCCGCCGCAGUAA